This 422-nucleotide ribosomal RNA is filed under the name uncultured bacterium. RNAcentral describes it as "bacterial SSU rRNA". It matches the Rfam family "Bacterial small subunit ribosomal RNA", at positions 355 to 774 of the family's 1533-position model. The record is from RNAcentral.
UGAGGAAUAUUGGGCAAUGCCCGAAAGGGUGACCCAGCAACGCCGCGUGGAGGAUGAAGGUCGUAAGAUUGUAAACUCCUGUUAGAGGGGAAGAAUAACUAAGUUUGGAGCUUAGUAUGACUGUACCCUCAGAGAAAGCCCCGGCUAACUACGUGCCAGCAGCCGCGGUAAUACGUAGGGGGCAAGCGUUGUCCGGAUUUACUGGGUGUAAAGGGCGCGCAGGCGGAAUGGAAAGUCAGUGGUGAAAUCCUACAGCUUAACUGUAGAACUGCCUUUGAUACUUUCAUUCUUGAGUUCGGGAGAGAGUGACGGAAUUCCCGGUGUAGUGGUGAAAUACGUAGAUAUCUGGAAGAACACCAGUUGCGAAGGCGGUCUCUUGGUCCGAUACUGACGCUGAGGCGCGAAAGCGUGGGGAGCAAACA